CCUACGGGGGGCAGCAGUGGGGGAUAUUGCACAAUGGGGGAAACCCUGAUGCAGCGACGCCGCGUGGGUGAAGGAGUAUUUCGGCAUGUAAAGCCCUAUCAGCAGGGAAGAAAGAAGACGGUACCUGACUAAGAAGCCCCGGCUAACUACGUGCCAGCAGCCGCGGUAAUACGUAGGGGGCGAGCGUUAUCCGGAUUCACUGGGUGUAAAGGGUGCGUAGACGGCCGGGCAAGCCAGGAGUGAAAGCCCGGGGCCCAACCCCGGGACUGCUCUUGGAACUGGGCGGCUGGAGUGCGGGAGGGGCAGGCGGAAUUCCUGGUGUAGCGGUGAAAUGCGUAGAUAUCAGGAGGAACACCGGCGGCGAAGGCGGCCUGCUGGACCGCGACUGACGUUGAGGCUCGAAAGCGUGGGGAGCGAACAGGAUUAGAUACCCUAGUAGUC
This 441-nucleotide ribosomal RNA is filed under the name uncultured bacterium. Its description in RNAcentral is "partial 16S ribosomal RNA". It matches the Rfam family "Bacterial small subunit ribosomal RNA", at positions 338 to 795 of the family's 1533-position model. The record is from RNAcentral.